RNAcentral lists this long non-coding RNA (527 nucleotides) under Haliotis rubra (blacklip abalone). Its description in RNAcentral is "uncharacterized LOC124258929". The record is from RNAcentral. Lineage: Eukaryota; Metazoa; Mollusca; Gastropoda; Lepetellida; Haliotidae.
CCUUAUAUAUACCUCAGAGAUACGGUGAGAGCCAUUCCCUCUCUGACAAUGGGCCCGCAAGGAACUCUCGUACUUGUCCUUCUGUGUGCCUACAGAGCCGUCUCCCUGAUCGCCCCGUGCGGCUUAUGCGGGGAUGAAAUAGACAUCACAAUCAUCGCCCAGAACUCUCUCAAGCCCCCGUUCUUCCAACAUCACCGUGAACGUGCACGGCGAACCACAGCGUGAGCUGAUCUACUUCCUGCAGAAGGCGGCAGACAUCGAUGAACGCCUCAGAUUUAAAAUCACUUACUUCGGUCGUGUCUUGGGCUGCUUUGUCAACUCAAUCAACAAUCUGGAGGAAAUUAUACUGCUGAAAACACGUCCUGGCGGGUGACGGAUGUUGACUUCAACUCCAUAAACUGGGCGUCAGCCACCACAUCCCAAACCACCAUGACACCGUCAUCUUCUCCUUCACCAACCAGACGUACACUUCACAAGAAGCGAACAUAUCCGACAAAGCAUGAAUAAACUGACUCAAAAUCUGAAAA